UCACGGGGCUGCCAGCUUCCAUCGUGUGAUCUGCUGAGGCCAAAGCAGAGGACAGCAGCCCAGGCCCGACUCUGCAGCAGGGUGGGGGUGGGGUGGGCUUGGGGGUGGGGAUGGGGAUGGGAGCCGCCAAUGCAAACUGGUCCCUCGCUGGUUUCCUACCCUGCACCCUGCCAUGCAAGGCCUCCUCUCCCACCCCUACCCCUGUCUCCCACCGCCUCCACCCCUAGGCUGCCCCACACCCAGGCUCCGGAAGUCUCCCAGGAUCCAGGAACUAAAGGCAACCACUGGGUUCCGCAGCCCCUAGUCUAUGAGUCAGCCACCCCUCUGCAUGCUGACAAACCUUGGCUCUCAUGCCCCACCCCAAGCCAACCACACAGCCCUGUCCCCGCACCAGCAUUAUUACCACCUCCUGAUUUUGGCCCUGACAGCCCUGCUUCCUGGUAACCUUGCCCCCUCCCACCCGGCUCCAGGCAAGCCCAAAGGCCAGCGCCCUCCACCCACCCUUCCUGGGGGCCACUCUACUAUCUCCUUGCCCAGAUGUCUUAACCUGGCUUUACCAAGAUAGAAUAAAUAACAGGGAUGAGCCCCCAGACUCUGCAAGGAAUAUUUGCCAAAAUACUCUCCAUUUAGAAGCAGGAACAGUGAUGGGGCCUAUGAAUGACCCCAGGAUUGUCACCCAAGCAGUAAGAACAGCAAGGAGACCGGUUUCCUGCCCUUCGUGCUCACACUCUGGCUGAACUGGAACCAAGAGAGACAGGAAGAGCUACAGCCCGGAGAAAAGGAUCUUUGCUGAUGUUGAACAUCAACAGGGAAACCAGGCCUGAGUGGAUUCGCACAUGACAUCUCCCUGGACACAGGGAUGGGUUCACAAAGGGGUUGGAAUCACUGAGAUGUGAGGAGAAGUCCGCUGGCAGCUUCUGGGACAUUACACCUGGUGCUGAAGAGAUCGCUGCUGGAAGAGGCUGUCUUCCUGGGCAUGUUGUCAGCAAACGGAAACCUCACAGAGACACUAUAAAGGCUACUAUUCCAAUGCUUCUGGAAUUGGUGCUGGGAGAACCCUGACAGAGCCCUUCUCCCCUCCUGUCUUGGAGGGCCGGGGGCCGGCUGACCCAGCACGCAGGAGGCCUGCGCCUCAGAUCCUUCUGGCUGAACCAGGCAGCAGAUCCACGCCGCGGGGCUUCCUCCCACGUGAGCUAACGCAAGAAACGACCCUGCAAAUCAAAGACCACCACCCAGGAGAAGCAGGAGAAACUCCCCAACUUGAAGUGAAUGUAUCAACAUUUCAGAAAAGGUAAAGUGGAUGUUGCUGUUUAAUCUGCUCAGCAUCCCUCCCCCACCUCUUUUGAUAAUUGGCCUCAGCAGGGUGGGUGGCCCACGUCUUUAAUCCCAGCACCUUGGGAAGUCGAGACAGGUGAUCACAGCAGUUCCAGACCAGCCUGACCAACACAGUAAAACCCCGUCUCUACUAAAAAUACAAAAAUUAGCUGAGCGUGGUGGUGCACACCUGUAAUCCCAGCUACAUGGGAGGCUGAGGCAGGAGAAUCGCUUGACCCUCGGAGGCGGAGGUUGCAGUGAGCCAAGAUCACACCACUGCACUCCAGCCUGGACGACAGAGUGAGACUGUGUCUCAAAAAAAAAAAAAAAAAAAAAGAUUCUGCCUCAAAAAAAAAUAAUAAUAAUUGGCCUCAUCCAGUGGACACAGUUCUGGGAAUGACAACGAGGCUAGGCCAAUCGGCCUCUCCUGAAAUGUUUCCCUGAAGCUGGAAAAGAGAAACUAUCCAGAGCUCAAAGGAGAUUAAUUUGAUGCUACUAGUGUUCAUGUUUCUAAUUAAGGGACAAAAAUCUAACUGCAGAGGGAGGAAAUGAAGCCAGUGAAGCCAGGGAGAGAUGAGAGAGAGAAAGAGAAAGACAGGGAGAGAGAGAGAGAGAGAGAGAGCAGGAGAGAGAAUAGCACCUGGAAUCUCUGAGGUUCCUGGAGAUGUCCUGGUUUCAUCACCUUCCCCGUUAUCUUCCCAGUAAUGUUCCCUUUCUCCUAAAGCCAGCUGGGUUUUUGUUUCUUGCAUUUGAAGUGUUCUGGCAAAUAGAGCUUCUGCUUCGUGUUUUCUUCCAGUCAAAUUGAAGGGACCAUUGACCAAUACAGAGCAAGAAAUCCAAAGGAGGAAUCACUCUAGAUCCAAAAAGAUGUUCAUGGAGAAAGAAACUACAAAGAGGCAGAAAUGCCAAACACUAAUUUAGUGUAGACACACAAGAAAUUCACCUAGAAUGCAGAGAAGAAAUAUGAGAAGUACAAAAUCAAGAAUGAUGUGGAAGAUUUAUUCAGGAGAUCCAUUAUAGACAUACGUACAGACCAACAAUCCUUUAUGCAAAACCCUUGGAGUCAGGUGUGUUUCAAAAUUCAGCACUGGAAGAUUUUAGAAAGAUGGUGUGGGGCAUGUGCUGAUAUUAUAUACACCUCCCUGCAGAGUCUAGAUCAGUACCCUGUAAUUGAAACCAUCAACACUUUUGUAGGAAAAC
Molecule: long non-coding RNA, 2514 nt
Organism: Pongo pygmaeus (Bornean orangutan)
Lineage: Eukaryota; Metazoa; Chordata; Mammalia; Primates; Hominidae
Exons: 4
Source: RefSeq, a predicted model, not a curated record